Molecule: long non-coding RNA, 613 nt
Filed under: Zostera marina
Lineage: Eukaryota; Viridiplantae; Streptophyta; Magnoliopsida; Alismatales; Zosteraceae
Description: long non-coding RNA (ZMAR_LNC006049)
Source: RNAcentral
GCUCUCCCACGAUGCAUCUUCCUGCAUAGCUCCGCUCCAUUGUACCAGGUAUUGUCUCUUCCUCUGUUUUCCCUGCAAGAUAUCCCUUGUAUCUAAUAUACUAACCGGGUAGAUUAUAGGCUGAUUUUCUAUGGUAACGACUGGAUCGACUUGGACUCCUGCUUCUGGAAUGGGUCCAUAGAAAUUUUUCAGCUUGGAGAUGUGGAAGGUAUUGUGGAUCUUGCUUCCUACUGGCAACUUCAAUUGGUAUGCAGCUUUAUUUAUUUUUCUUGUUAUCUGGAAUGGUCCAAAGUAUCGCUGACUCAAUUUGUUGUGGAGUCUAUUAGUAGCAGAAAUUUGCUUGUAAGGGUGGAGUUUAACUAGCACCCACUGUCCUUCAUUGUAUGAAUAUUCCUUCCUUCCCUUGUCGGCUUGGUUCUUCAUUCUAAUUUGAGCUUUUUCCAAAUUAAUUUUGAGCAUAGCUAAUGUAUCUUCUCUGAUUUUAAGUUCACUAUCUACAGCCUCAAUUGAAGAAGUCCCUUCAAUGUAGUGAGGUAAAUCAGUUGCCUCUUUCCUGUAUAAAGCCUUGUAGGGAGUCAUCUUGAUACUAGAGUGGUAACUAGUAUUAUACCAC